This 218-nucleotide ribosomal RNA is filed under the name Glomeromycotina sp. RNAcentral's name for it is "partial small subunit ribosomal RNA". The stretch from base 93 to 218 matches the Rfam family "Eukaryotic small subunit ribosomal RNA", at positions 738 to 864 of the family's 1831-position model. The record is from RNAcentral. Lineage: Eukaryota; Fungi; Glomeromycota.
GGGUCUAUCCAUUGGUCGGGCUUUACGGUCCGUACUGGUUCGAUGGGUUCCUACCUUCUGAAUGACCGGCAUGCCAUUCAGUUGGUGCGCCGGGGAAGCAGAGCUAUUACCUUGAAAAAAUUAGAGUGCUUAAAGCAGGCUAUUGCUUGAAUAGAUUAGCAUGGAAUAAUAAAAUAGGACGGCAUGGUUCUAUUUUGUUGGUUUCUAGGAUCACCGUA